UACGUAGGGCGCAAGCGUUAUCCGAAAUUAUUGGGCGUAAAGAGCUCGUAGGCGGUUUGUCGCGUCUGCUGUGAAAGACCGGGGCUCAACUCCGGUUCUGCAGUGGGUACGGGCAGACUAGAGUGCAGUAGGGGGAGACUGGAAUUCCUGGUGUAGCGGUGAAAUGCGCAGAGUAUCAGGAGGAACACCGAUGGCGAAGGCAGGUCUCUGGGCUGUAACUGACGCUGAGGAGCGAAAGCAUGGGGAGCGAACAGG
Molecule: ribosomal RNA, 255 nt
Filed under: uncultured bacterium
Lineage: Bacteria
Description: partial 16S ribosomal RNA
Rfam family: Bacterial small subunit ribosomal RNA
Source: RNAcentral